AGACUUUGAAUUGAAAAAUGAAAAUUAGUUUUUUUUUCUGUGCUACAAAAAUGGGCGGAGACUGCAAGCAAGAGGGAAUGAAGCGACUCGAGUCACGAAGAGUCCUGUGACUUGCGAGAGGUGACAUGUAACUAUGAGAAAUUGAAAUAUUUGAUUAUCGAGUAAAUAACAUUGAGUUCCCUAUAUUUUUAUUUUUAGUAAAUAACGAUACAUUAGUUUCAGUUUAUUUCAAAUAGGUUCCUCAUCCUUUGCCAGUGACCAAGUUGUGCAACCCUAACAUCCACAGCACCUCUUUUCGCUUCAAUCAUGACCGGAGCAUCAGAGCUUGAGUCUAUCCUUUUAUGUUCAUCUCCGUCUUGUUCUUCAUCCAUUUUUGCAUCUUCUACAUGAAUGGCUUCUGGUUCUUUGGUUUGAUUUUCUUCUGUGCUGCCUUUUGGUUCUCUCCCUUCGCCGACUUGUUCAGCCACUUUCGUAGUUUCAAUUCUGGAGCUCUGAAGGGGGCCAGUCAAUGAAGCUGUAGCUGAGUCCAUCAAUGCUGAUUCCUCAGUUUUUAUUUCCCCUGAUUCUUGUGGUUGUUGCUCUCCUUCGAGGUUAAUCUUUGCUUUUUGUGGAGUUUCUGUGGUUCCUUAUUGCUCAAAAAUUUUUGGCGCAAACUCAUCUCCAGUUUGAACUGGUGUGUAUGGGCGCUCAAUGAGAUCUGCUUCAGUUGUUGCAUAAGAGCUUUUCUCUAACUCACUAGUUUCUUGAAUGAUUUUGCUGUCUGUUGCAAACCCCCUUAUGCUUUCUUUUUGUGACAUCGCCAUACUCGAUUCUUGAUAAAAUUAAAAGUAAAGCUGCUCAAAUUGUGAAAAAUAAAAGAAAAACCGAAAUGUCUAAUUAAUAUCUGCAAGCAAAAUGGCUUUCAUAAUUUAGCUGCAUUCUUGUCCUACUAAGUUAUGUUU
This 941-nucleotide long non-coding RNA is filed under the name Citrus sinensis (sweet orange). RNAcentral describes it as "long non-coding RNA (CSIN_LNC002622)". Lineage: Eukaryota; Viridiplantae; Streptophyta; Magnoliopsida; Sapindales; Rutaceae. The record is from RNAcentral.